UUGGACUUCUUGUUAUUUCCAGGAGGGGUGGGCUUCUGCUUGGACUUCUUCUUCUUGGGCUUGGCGGCGAGGUUGGGGAGGUCUUUGUGAGGGGCAUUGGGCUUGCCACUGCCGCUGGUUUUGGAAGCUUUCCUCAUUUUUGGAAUGGCGAUCGAAACUGUCGCCGGUGAGUUACUCCACAAACUGAUUUGAAUUGGCUAGGAAUGUUUUGGUUUUGGAUUAUGAACGAUGAUGAUUCGUUUCUGAGUUCCUAUGGUUAAACCUGCUCUGAUACCAUGUUGAAACAUUGUAUCAUCAUAAUGCACAGAGAAAGAGAAGCUAAAGAUUGUAAUUGUAUUUCUUGUUAUUUCCUGCUGAUACAAUCAUCCCUUUUAUAGUAUUAAGAAGGGAGCUGAUAUUCAAUAUUACUUCUACAACAUCAUGAGGAUUCCUACAACAUCAUGAGGAUCCCUAUAAUUAAGGGAUCCUUGAUUAUCUUUUGACUAACUUUAUCUUUUGACUAACUUUAUUUGUCUGCUGACUUUUUAUUCUCAACAACUUCUCUCUCUUGUAGAGAACGUUGUAGCUGAUAAUGGUGGUAAACCAUACACCAACGAUCUUUUCCAACAGCUCAAGGUGAGUGAAUUGUAUAUUGGAGUAAACUUUAAUUCGCGCGCGCGUGUGUGUAUUAGUAGAUGUUGGUGGUUAUGUUUAUGCAGAAAGAUGAGAUUGAUGAAGCUACACAAGGGAAAUCUAGUGAGGAGAAGCCGGGUGGGGAGCAGUUUGAUCGGUUUAUUGAGAUGGUAAUGUGACUUUUAUCCCAAGAAGUAUAUUCUGAAAAAAUUGUGAGAUGCAUAUGUGAAUGAUGGCUGAUUGAUUGAAGGUUGAGGUGAGGUUGAAGCAGAGUAUUGCGAAUCUGGAAAAUAUGUUGGCGGAGGAGAGAGCUGCUCGAGCUGCGGCAGAAUUGAAGGUGCUGGAAGCGCAGGCGA
This 968-nucleotide long non-coding RNA is filed under the name Salvia miltiorrhiza (redroot sage). Its description in RNAcentral is "long non-coding RNA (SMIL_LNC001072)". The record is from RNAcentral. Lineage: Eukaryota; Viridiplantae; Streptophyta; Magnoliopsida; Lamiales; Lamiaceae.